This 21-nucleotide non-coding RNA is filed under the name Caenorhabditis elegans. Lineage: Eukaryota; Metazoa; Nematoda; Chromadorea; Rhabditida; Rhabditidae. The record is from RNAcentral.
UAAAAAGCUUUUGGAUAAACU